RNAcentral lists this ribosomal RNA (761 nucleotides) under Prevotella melaninogenica. RNAcentral describes it as "bacterial SSU rRNA". It matches the Rfam family "Bacterial small subunit ribosomal RNA", at positions 28 to 776 of the family's 1533-position model. Lineage: Bacteria; Pseudomonadati; Bacteroidota; Bacteroidia; Bacteroidales; Prevotellaceae. The record is from RNAcentral.
GAUGAACGCUAGCUACAGGCUUAACACAUGCAAGUCGAGGGGAAACGGCAUUUAGUGCUUGCACUGAAUGGACGUCGACCGGCGCACGGGUGAGUAACGCGUAUCCAACCUACCCAUUACUGUGGGAUAACCUGCCGAAAGGCAGACUAAUACCGCAUAGUCUUCGAUGACGGCAUCAGAUUUGAAGUAAAGAUUUAUCGGUAAUGGAUGGGGAUGCGUCUGAUUAGCUUGUUGGCGGGGUAACGGCCCACCAAGGCGACGAUCAGUAGGGGUUCUGAGAGGAAGGUCCCCCACAUUGGAACUGAGACACGGUCCAAACUCCUACGGGAGGCAGCAGUGAGGAAUAUUGGUCAAUGGGCGCGAGCCUGAACCAGCCAAGUAGCGUGCAGGAUGACGGCCCUAUGGGUUGUAAACUGCUUUUGUAUGGGGAUAAAGUCAAUCACGUGUGAUUGUUUGCAGGUACCAUACGAAUAAGGACCGGCUAAUUCCGUGCCAGCAGCCGCGGUAAUACGGAAGGUCCGGGCGUUAUCCGGAUUUAUUGGGUUUAAAGGGAGCGUAGGCCGGAGAUUAAGUGUGUUGUGAAAUGUAGACGCUCAACGUCUGACUUGCAGCGCAUACUGGUUUCCUUGAGUACGCACAACGUUGGCGGAAUUCGUCGUGUAGCGGUGAAAUGCUUAGAUAUGACGAAGAACUCCGAUUGCGAAGGCAGCUGACGGGAGCGCAACUGACGCUUAAGCUCGAAGGUGCGGGUAUCGAACAGG